Molecule: small nucleolar RNA, 112 nt
Filed under: Cavia porcellus (domestic guinea pig)
Lineage: Eukaryota; Metazoa; Chordata; Mammalia; Rodentia; Caviidae
Source: RNAcentral
AAGCAGAUAUCCAGAAAAUUAAAAAUUCCAUUGAAUGUGCUAGACAACCUUUGAAGGUAAAUUAGCAGCAUGAUUAAUUUAGCCAUUGCUGUCAGUUCACCUUCAGACAAGA